Molecule: long non-coding RNA, 1116 nt
Filed under: Apteryx haastii (Great spotted kiwi)
Lineage: Eukaryota; Metazoa; Chordata; Aves; Apterygiformes; Apterygidae
Description: lncRNA (ENSAHAG00000013026.1)
Source: RNAcentral
GAAAGCCGGAGUCCAACACAGCCAACAAAUAUCCGAAAACUUUCCUGCUGUCCCCCUCCUCGCCCAGGCUGGGCAGGCGGAAGGCUCAGGUACCUCUGCUGAGUGCACCCCCCCCCCCCCGGCUCUGUGUCCUGAUAUCCCCUUCCCUCCCGCACUGUUUGAGGGUUUUUUUCCCUGGUGAUCUCCCUGCUCGGAGCCUCCGGACACCGCUCGUUCACGCACCGCAGACGCGCUGGACAGGCACGAGCACGGCAGACACACACGCACACGCACACGCACACGCACGCUCAGCAGGGGAGCACACGAGCACGACGGCCGCAUGCGGCCCGUGUGCAACGUUUGCACAUUCGUGUGUCCCGAAGGGAGGCAGACACGCACCCACACCCACACACGCACCCCCCCCACACACACGCAGGGGACUCCCAUUGCACCCAGGCGCUUGCAACCCUUUAAAUCACUCCCGGCUCCUCCGGCCCCUGGCUGAGCCCAAACCGCUCUAACGAGACACUGCACCGAAUUAACCCACUUGCUAAGGAAGCCGCGGUGCUCGGCGGUGCUCGGCGGAGCGGGAGCCAGGGCCGGCCCGCAGGCGGGGGGGCUGYGAUUCAGAGCCGCCGCCUUGCAUCCUGCGGGGGGGGGCUGGAGGCGGCUAAGGCGAAGCGGGGCUGGAGCCCUUUGCGCGCACAUUGUCCCCCUUGCGCGCUCAUCGCCCCCUUUGCGCGCACAGCGCCCCCGGCGCGGGCUGCAUUGCCCUCUCGCGUUGCUGGCGCGUCUCCCCCGUUUUUAGGCGCCCGCGGGGCUCCGUUGCGUCCCGUCUCCGCUCGCGUUUUCGCCGGUUCGUUUUUCCGCGGCCGCCAGCGGCUUUCAACGGGGCCGCGGAGGACGCGCGAGAUAAACGGGCAAAACAGCGCGGGGGGGAGCAGCGGCGGGGCGCGGAGCGCCGUGACCGCCCGGGGCUCGCUGCAGCCCGCCGCAGCCGCUCCGCUUGCCCCAGGUUUCCCGUCUAACAUCACCGGCGCUCGCUUGCGCCGCCAGAAGCGGGGGAAAAUCACGGCAGCAAGUGCCCCGGGGGGGGGGGCGGGUCCUCAACAUGCAGCGCAGAUAUACGCAGUCUGA